Oryza brachyantha (malo sina) is the source of this 209-nucleotide non-coding RNA. The record is from Rfam. Lineage: Eukaryota; Viridiplantae; Streptophyta; Magnoliopsida; Poales; Poaceae.
AAUAAUCUUAUUUUUCGUUUUUCCGUGUCCAACGUUUGAUCAUUCGUCUUAUUUGAAACUUUUUUGUGAUUUAUAUUUUUAUUAUUACUAGAUAAUAAAAUAUAAAUAGUACUUUAUACGUGACUAAUUUUUUUUAGAUUUUUACACAAAUUUUUCAAAUAAGACGAAUGGUCAAACGUUAGACGCGGAAAAACGAAAAUAAGGUUAUU